GAAAACCCUCAUGCGAAAGGAGCAGGCAGGGCCUGCUGCUGGGUUCCAGGAUACACGGGCAGGGCCCUGCACUUUGCUGGCUCUCGGCUUCUCAGGCAAACUAGCAGUUUGUCAAAUUAGCAGCGAGGAACCUGCUUCAGGUGGGGAUCCCACCAGUUACCUGGUGGAGGAGAUGUCUGCACAGAGGCAGCACGCAGGAGGUGACACAGGAGCACGCACCUGCUGUGCCAUGCAAAGCGCAGGGCCCCCAGGCUGCCCCGGGAGAGCAGAGCACAUGGGAUUGCGGAGUGUGGUCGGACUGUCAUCAGGAGCUUAUAGGGGAUUCUGCCGCUUUCAUUACGCCGAGGCUGAGCAGCUACCCCGCGUGUGAAAGUCUGCCAGGGUCAGGCUGAAAUCCUGCUUCUGUUAAACUCAGAGGAUUUUUGACGUUGAUUUCAGUGAGGCUACAGUUUUUACUUCUGGCCCUUUCAGUUAUUGGAGCAAAACAUAGUAGGAGCCCCUAACUACUACUGAGUGGAAAGAAAAAAAUCAUAUAUUGGUUUUGGCUCCAAAGUUCCAA
Molecule: long non-coding RNA, 559 nt
Organism: Oxyura jamaicensis (ruddy duck)
Lineage: Eukaryota; Metazoa; Chordata; Aves; Anseriformes; Anatidae
Exons: 2
Source: RefSeq, a predicted model, not a curated record